Molecule: unclassified non-coding RNA, 280 nt
Filed under: uncultured fungus
Lineage: Eukaryota; Fungi
Description: partial contains small subunit ribosomal RNA, internal transcribed spacer 1, and 5.8S ribosomal RNA
Rfam family: Eukaryotic small subunit ribosomal RNA (bases 1-73)
Source: RNAcentral
GCAAACUUGGUCAUUUAGAGGAAGUAAAAGUCGUAACAAGGUUUCCGUAGGUGAACCUGCGGAAGGAUCAUUACAAUAUACACAUCAGGGGGUGGGCGUCGCCUGCCCUGCCUGACUAUAUACCCUUGAUUUUUUGCGUACCAACUGUUUCCUCGGUGGGCUUGCCCACCAGCAGGACAUGACCAAACCACUUUGCAAUUGCAGUCAGCGUCAGAAAAACUUAAUAGUUACAACUUUCAACAACGGAUCUCUUGGUUCUGGCAUCGAUGAAGAACGCAGC